AGAAGAAGAGUUCAGAGAGAGAGAAGAGCGAUAUAAAAGACUUAUUAGAGGGCGGGAGCAGAAGGAGAAUGAACUGAUAGAACAGAUGAAGCGAAUGCAGAAACAGAAACUAGAGGAACGACUGAGGAGAGAAGAAGAGAAACAGAAAUCCAAACUUCACCCGAGACUCCAAAAUCCAGUUAGUGAUCAGACAGCAGAUCUGAAUGUGGUCCUGCUGGGAAAAAGAGGAGCAGGGAAAAGUGCAUCAGGAAACACAAUCCUGGGAAGACAAGUUUUCAUCUCCAAGAAAAGUGCCAGACCAGUCACACGAGACGUCAAUGUGGAGUCUGGAUCAUUCUGUGAACUACCAGUCACUGUUUACGACACUCCAGGAUUGUUUGACACAAAGCUGAGGGAUGAAGAGAUUCAGCAGAUGAUCAGUGAGAAGGUCCUCCAGAAAUGUUCAUCAGGUCUGUGUGUGUUUCUGCUGGUCAUCAGAGCUGACAGAUUCACUGAAGAAGAGAGAAAAACUGUGGAGAAGAUUGAGAAGAUC
Molecule: non-coding RNA, 532 nt
Organism: Danio rerio (zebrafish)
Lineage: Eukaryota; Metazoa; Chordata; Actinopteri; Cypriniformes; Danionidae
Source: Ensembl